RNAcentral lists this ribosomal RNA (710 nucleotides) under Citrobacter portucalensis. Its description in RNAcentral is "partial 16S rRNA". The record is from RNAcentral. Lineage: Bacteria; Pseudomonadati; Pseudomonadota; Gammaproteobacteria; Enterobacterales; Enterobacteriaceae.
UGUCCAGGGGGCCGCCUUCGCCACCGGUAUUCCUCCAGAUCUCUACGCAUUUCACCGCUACACCUGGAAUUCUACCCCCCUCUACAAGACUCUAGCCUGCCAGUUUCGGAUGCAGUUCCCAGGUUGAGCCCGGGGAUUUCACAUCCGACUUGACAGACCGCCUGCGUGCGCUUUACGCCCAGUAAUUCCGAUUAACGCUUGCACCCUCCGUAUUACCGCGGCUGCUGGCACGGAGUUAGCCGGUGCUUCUUCUGCGAGUAACGUCAAUUGCUGCGGUUAUUAACCACAACACCUUCCUCCUCGCUGAAAGUACUUUACAACCCGAAGGCCUUCUUCAUACACGCGGCAUGGCUGCAUCAGGCUUGCGCCCAUUGUGCAAUAUUCCCCACUGCUGCCUCCCGUAGGAGUCUGGACCGUGUCUCAGUUCCAGUGUGGCUGGUCAUCCUCUCAGACCAGCUAGGGAUCGUCGCCUAGGUGAGCCGUUACCCCACCUACUAGCUAAUCCCAUCUGGGCACAUCCGAUGGCAAGAGGCCCGAAGGUCCCCCUCUUUGGUCUUGCGACGUUAUGCGGUAUUAGCUACCGUUUCCAGUAGUUAUCCCCCUCCAUCGGGCAGUUUCCCAGACAUUACUCACCCGUCCGCCACUCGUCACCCAAGGAGCAAGCUCCUCUGUGCUACCGUUCGACUUGCAUGUGUUAGGCCUGCCGCCAG